RNAcentral lists this ribosomal RNA (105 nucleotides) under Lepisosteus oculatus (spotted gar). The record is from RNAcentral. Lineage: Eukaryota; Metazoa; Chordata; Actinopteri; Semionotiformes; Lepisosteidae.
GGCAGCAGCCACAUCACUGUGCAACACACUGAAGCUAAGCAGGUGUGAGCCUGGCUAGUACCUGGAUGGGAGACCUCCUGGGAAAAACUAAGCUUGCUGCUGGAA